This 73-nucleotide transfer RNA is filed under the name Bryobacterales bacterium. Its description in RNAcentral is "tRNA-Ala". It matches the Rfam family "tRNA". From Rfam's summary of the family: Transfer RNA (tRNA) molecules are approximately 80 nucleotides in length. Their secondary structure includes four short double-helical elements and three loops (D, anti-codon, and T loops). The record is from RNAcentral. RNAcentral also lists the same sequence under 1 other name. Lineage: Bacteria; Pseudomonadati; Acidobacteriota; Terriglobia; Bryobacterales.
GGGGCCGUAGCUCAGCUGGGAGAGCGUCCGGUUUGCAACCGGGAGGUCGCCGGUUCGAGCCCGGCCGGCUCCA